This 273-nucleotide ribosomal RNA is filed under the name uncultured bacterium. RNAcentral's name for it is "partial 16S ribosomal RNA". It matches the Rfam family "Bacterial small subunit ribosomal RNA", at positions 524 to 796 of the family's 1533-position model. The record is from RNAcentral.
UAUGUAGGGUGUUUGGGUUAAUCGGAAUUACUGGGCGUAAAGCGCGCGUAGGUGGUUUGUUAAGUUGGAUGUGAAAGCCCCGGGCUCAACCUGGGAACUGCAUCCAAAACUGGCAAGCUAGAGUAUGGCAGAGGGUGGUGGAAUUUCCUGUGUAGCGGUGAAAUGCGUAGAUAUAGGAAGGAACACCAGUGGCGAAGGCGACCACCUGGGCUAAUACUGACACUGAGGUGCGAAAGCGUGGACAGCAAACAGGAUUAGAUGCCCGUGUAGUCC